RNAcentral lists this non-coding RNA (349 nucleotides) under Mus musculus (house mouse). Its description in RNAcentral is "Eukaryotic small subunit ribosomal RNA". It matches the Rfam family "Eukaryotic small subunit ribosomal RNA", at positions 1184 to 1453 of the family's 1831-position model. The record is from Rfam by way of RNAcentral. Lineage: Eukaryota; Metazoa; Chordata; Mammalia; Rodentia; Muridae.
UGUGGCUUAAUUUGACUCAACACAGGAAACCUCACCCAGCCUGGACACAGACAGGAUUGACAGAUUGAUAGCUCUUUCUCAAUUGCGUGGAUGGUGGUCCAUGGCCAUUCUUAGUUGUUGGAGCGAUUUGUCUGGUUAAUUUCAAUAAUGCAAAUUAUAGCACCAUAGGCAUUAAAAGAAACACUCUACUGUUGAGGAAUUCUAUCUGAACAAUUAGACCACCUCUAGGCCAUGUGACCUUGGUCCUAUUGGUUAACUUCAUUGUAACUCAAGUGUUCUCAAAUGUGGGGGUGAUUAUAGAGAAGGCUGUGCAAGGCUAUUGUGAAGAUUAAAUGAAUUGCUGCACAUA